CGGGGCUUGACGGAAAGCGGGUGUGAAGAAGCCUGCGCCGGAGUUGUGCAUGGAGGAGGUCAUACUCCGAAGUCAGGGCGAAGGAAUUUGGGGGCAAAAAAUCCAACUGUCCUGCACUGCUGCCAUGAAAGUGGAACAAGACUGUGAACAUGGAGAAAACUCGGCAAACCUGAACGAAAUGCUGCUUAACCAACUGAGGGAGAUCACUGGCGUUCAGGACAUGCAGGUUCUUCAGAGCGCCCUUAAUGCAAGCCAGUGGGAUGUUAGCCAUGCUGUUGGUCUUCUCACAACACAAACAUCAGAGGAGGAGCAGGCGCCUGAAGAAUCUUCUACUGUCGACCAGAACACAGAAGCCUCCAACGUACACAACAGUAAGAGCUCACAUGAAAAAUUGUAACUUUUUUUAUAUAUAUCUUUAAAUAUAAAUACUUUUUGUUAUUUGUUUAGUAUGAUUCAAAUGGUUUUGAGAAAUGUGAAGAAAAUGGC
RNAcentral lists this long non-coding RNA (486 nucleotides) under Astyanax mexicanus (Mexican tetra). Its description in RNAcentral is "lncRNA (ENSAMXG00005018086.1)". The record is from RNAcentral. Lineage: Eukaryota; Metazoa; Chordata; Actinopteri; Characiformes; Acestrorhamphidae.